This 498-nucleotide ribosomal RNA is filed under the name uncultured bacterium. RNAcentral describes it as "partial 16S ribosomal RNA". It matches the Rfam family "Bacterial small subunit ribosomal RNA", at positions 30 to 523 of the family's 1533-position model. The record is from RNAcentral.
AUUGAACGCUGGCGGCGUGCCUUACACAUGCAAGUCGAACGGUAACAGGUCUUCGGAUGCUGACGAGUGGCGAACGGGUGAGUAAUACAUCGGAACGUGCCUAGUAGUGGGGGAUAACUACUCGAAAGAGUGGCUAAUACCGCAUGUGAUCUACGGAUGAAAGCAGGGGAUCGCAAGACCUUGUGCUACUAGAGCGGCCGAUGGCAGAUUAGGUAGUUGGUGGGAUAAAAGCUUACCAAGCCGACGAUCUGUAGCUGGUCUGAGAGGACGAUCAGCCACACUGGGACUGAGACACGGCCCAGACUCCUACGGGAGGCAGCAGUGGGGAAUUUUGGACAAUGGGCGCAAGCCUGAUCCAGCAAUGCCGCGUGCAGGAUGAAGGCCUUCGGGUUGUAAACUGCUUUUGUACGGAACGAAAAGCCCCGGGUUAAUACCCUGGGGUCAUGACGGUACCGUAAGAAUAAGCACCGGCUAACUACGUGCCAGCCGCCGCAGUAA